This is a long non-coding RNA of Gopherus flavomarginatus (Mexican gopher tortoise), 1563 nucleotides long. RefSeq lists it as uncharacterized. The record is from RefSeq and is a predicted model, not a curated record. NCBI's taxonomy places the organism in Eukaryota, Metazoa, Chordata, Testudines, Testudinidae. The transcript is spliced from 3 exons.
CAUACAGCUCUAGUCAGAAGGAUGAAGGGCUGAGUUAUGCUGCUGGGAUUCAAAGCUGUGGUGCUUCGGAGCGAGUCCUGCAGAGCAGUUCUCCGAACGAGCAACAGUCUGAACAAUGGAACGAGCCUGGCAGGCUUGGACAUCUGGCUCAUCUAGUUUCUCUAGGCAGAGCUGCAUCAUCAGCUGAAAGGUGCCGUGUUUUCAAACAGAACUGAAAGUGUCAGACUGUAGAGAAGGGGUUAUGUGAACUCCAGCCACUGGGAGCCACACAGAUCAAGCACCAGUCGAUGCCAAAUAAAAGUUACAGCUCUGGGCUCCAGGGAGCUGGUGACUGGAGAUGGGACACAGAUGAAACAUGGACCCAACGCUGCCACACCAAGUCAGCUGUGCUGGGGUUGGAUUCCAGCUGCAUCCAGCCUUCACUAAGGGGAGAAGCCUACAAAGAAGUCAGCAGCAGCUCCGUCACUGAGGGAGGAGCAGAUUGCCAGCCACAUCAGAGCGGCUGCAAGAUCACUUACGGCCCAGAUGAUACAAAGUGAGCAGGGAUGAGGCCGUGGAGCACAGCAGCGAAAAGCCACUGCCUUUCUAAAAAGACCACCCCCAGCCAUCCUCCCAGCAGCAAGAUAGAAAGUUAAAAUAAACCCUCACUAAGGCGACCUGUCAUGGAGCAUGCUGAUGGUGCAUAAUCAGUAGAAAUAGGAUGAUGAUAAUCAUACAAGAAAUUAAGCAAAAUCCCCCAGAGGUAGUGACAAUUCUUCCUGACAGUAAACUACCCUACUCUGCUGGAGCAGGGAGACACUGACUUGGCAGCUGGAAAGACCCACCACGGCCAAACCUAACACUGAAAAGAGCAGCGAUAACCGUUACUGGAAAUCCAAAGGCAGUAACAGCCUGCAGCAACCUAGUACCUCCCUCAGACAUCACGAGAGUUGGAAAAGAUUCAUUAGAUGGUCUAGUCCAUCUUCCUGCCUCUGCACUUCACCCACUUUCAUCCCAGGCUAUAGACACAGGGAUCCCUCCACCCACCCCACAACAGGUACCAUGUCAUUACGCUCCCGAUGUGUCCAAAUGCUGGGCCCUGGCUGUGACCGCUUCCCAGCCUGAUCAGAGUAAAUAGACUUGAGAGCUCCUUUGGUGAGAUUUUGUCUGCUAUUCAGGAUUGGAGUAUGAUCGGCUCUCCCAUCCCUGCUAGAACCUAAGCCAGCUCCUAACAUUGGAUUUGUUUCGGUUCUGUUUCUUUAAAACUAAUGGUUUCAUUAGAAAGUUAUCAGGACUUUUACAAAGCACUGUCAUAUGAGCACUGGAAGUUAUCGCAUUAACUGUUACAAUACAGAACGUGGCACUUUUUGCUUAGAGAAACAUUCUGCAUCAAUACAGCCCCCAAGUUUUUCUGUUUAACAGGGCAGUACAACCAGGACAUGCCUGCAGGAAUUAAUUACCUUUUUCCCCUCCCCACAAUGACCAUCUUGAACCAAUCUAGUCUGAGUAUGGGGGUUUUCUGAGCAUUUUAUCUUUUGACGACAUCAUCCAGCUCUUUAACACUGGAAGGUACUUAGAGAAGAG